CUCGAAAUGGCUGACCAAGUGAUCCUCCUCACUGCUAGAUGUUUGAGGAAAAAUAUGACCGAUAGAGCACUUGAUUCUAUUCACAUUCAGAUGACUUCCCUGAAAGCAUAAAGUACUCUGUAGCCACUUAUUGUGGAUACCUGGUGAGACGACACACACACAGUUAUAUUAGCUGUGUGAGUGAACCUUUCCGCAUCUGAACUGGCUGACACAGAGGGCACAGCAUGAUCAUAGGUAGGUUUUGAUGUGAGAGAGGAAGCCAGUCCCGUCAUCGCCACCUCACCCACUCUUAAGAUAACCUUUGGGCCGACUGGGGGCCCAAGGCUGGUUAGGAGACACCGCUAGAGACACUAUGUAAUUGUGAUGAACUGAGAGAAUAAUAGGGUAGCAUUGUAAUUCAUUAAUCAUAUGCUGUCUUUCCUGCUCCUCUGUUUUACUUCUUUCCUUUUCUGUCUUCUACACCACUCUCCCCACCUCCUUUUUGUUCCUCUUUUUUUAUAAUGCACACCAUAUGUGCAUUGAAGUACAGCUUUAACUUGUAUUUAUAAUAUAAUAUUACAAUUCUAAUAUUUAUAAUGCAUGUAUUAUGUAUUUAUAACACCUGGAUAAUGAACUUUGAAUAAAGCGUUUCACAUUUCAACUGGUAGAAAUGAAGUAUCUCAUUGGAAUACUAUACCUAUCCUGUGUCCUCAGAUUAAUGUAGAUGAAGGGA
Molecule: long non-coding RNA, 712 nt
Filed under: Salmo salar (Atlantic salmon)
Lineage: Eukaryota; Metazoa; Chordata; Actinopteri; Salmoniformes; Salmonidae
Description: lncRNA (ENSSSAG00000106764.1)
Source: RNAcentral